UACGUAGGGGGCAAGCGUUAUCCGGAUUCACUGGGCGUAAAGGGAGCGCAGGCGGCACGGCAAGUCUGGUGUGAAAGCCCGGGGCCCAACCCCGGGACUGCAUUGGAAACUGCCGGGCUGGAGUGCCGGAGGGGUAAGCGGAAUUCCUGGUGUAGCGGUGAAAUGCGCAGAUAUCAGGAAGAACACCGGUGGCGUAGGCGGCUUACUGGACGGCAACUGACGCUGAGGCUCGAAAGCGUGGGGAGCAAACAGG
RNAcentral lists this ribosomal RNA (253 nucleotides) under uncultured bacterium. RNAcentral describes it as "partial 16S ribosomal RNA". It matches the Rfam family "Bacterial small subunit ribosomal RNA", at positions 524 to 776 of the family's 1533-position model. The record is from RNAcentral.